Long non-coding RNA from Acyrthosiphon pisum (pea aphid), 2117 nucleotides. RefSeq lists it as uncharacterized. The transcript is spliced from 4 exons. Lineage: Eukaryota; Metazoa; Arthropoda; Insecta; Hemiptera; Aphididae. The record is from RefSeq and is a predicted model, not a curated record.
UGUGAUAAUAUUAUCUAAUAAAAUAUUGCACUUAUAUUGUAUAAUCAUGAGAAUUGAGAGCGGAGUAUCAGAUUUUUAGGUUCGUAAAAAUUAAAAAUUUUUAAACCAUAAAAUGCAAGAUUUUCAAGGAAGAAAUUUGUGUUCAAGAGCGUUCAAGAAGUUACAUGUGCUAUAUACAAGCGUAUCGGACUCAGACUUCGAUACGAGCCGUUCGCUCAAUGGAUUUUAUCAUGAUUUUUUAAUGGAAAUCAGUGAUAUAAAUAUUGAGUCUGUGGAAGAUGGAUGACUUGUGAUGUUGAAAGUCUAAAAGAUUCACAUGUGAUUCAUCCAGAGGAAUGUAUUAAAGUUCUUAAAGUAAUUGAUUUUAAAAUGGAGAGCUGAACUCGCUAAGUAAAAUCUAUGAAUAAACCAUAAAUUAUUAAAUUCAAUAACAUAGUAGUAAAUUACAGCUAUCACAAUAUAAAUUGAUGUAAAACAUAAAACAUAUUUUUGUAUUUAACUAAAUUUGUUAAAUAUAAUAUAAUGAAUCAAUUUCAAGCUUUAAGUAACAUCUUCUAAAAUGAUAUUUGCACACGGCGCUUUUUUGGUUUAGUUGGUACUCAGUAAGAUUCACAAACAACAGAAGUUAAGUUUAAUUUUUUCAAAACUUUUAAUUUCACAGAGGCAGUGCAAUUUGAAUCACCGUUGGAAGUCUUACAAGGUUAUAAUACCUCCAACAAAGAACUGAACGUGGACACAAAGUGGAAUUUCAAGGCGAUAGAUUGGACAACAUGUUCAAACAUCUUAAUGUGUGUUCUUUGAUACAUCUCCUUUAGUAUCACAAGUCCAUUGCACAUAUUUUUAGUGAAGGCAGAUACUCCAAAACUCAAAAGCCACGAAGUGAACAAAAAACAUUAUAGAGUGAUGGAUGAAAGAUUAGCAGAAAAAUGUGGUGACAUCACAUUCAAUUAAGUCACUAUCAGUACCAAUGCUGAUAUAGGAAUCAAUACUUUUGAAGUAGUCAGUAAUUUUAGCAGUAAUACCAUUGUCAACAAAUUCAAUAUAAAUCUUCAGCAUCGUCAUUUUAAUCAGCCAAUAUAAAUGUAUAAUAAUACAUACCUAUCUAAACUAUUCUAAAUAGUAUAUCCUCGUAAUAUUUAAUAUAAUAUUUUUGUUACAAAUUUCUCUUGUAUGGUUGUAUGUCUAUAAUUUUGAUUUCAACAAUACAAUAUCUUAAGUAUACAAGCUAAUACACUUUUUUUUUGUUAUUUUCUUUAAUUCGGACAAUCUAGAGCCCCAAUUAGUCCGGAUUAAUGAGAUUUUACUGUACAUAUAUAUUAUAUUAUUUAAUAAAUAAUAACACAUGAUCAUUGAUAAAACACACUAUAUAACAUCAACAGAAACAGAAUAUUAGUAAUAAUAUAAUUAUUAAUUAAUUAAUAUUUAUGAUUUAUAAAUUCAAAACUAACCCAUAACUUAAGCAACGUAUACUGGCAAUUUUAUUGUUUUUACUGUAAUUCAAUAAAUUUAAAUAUAAUAGUUUCUAUGUUUUAUACAUAAAAAAUAAUCUUAAUAUGAUAAUUAAGUUAAAUGACACAAAACAAAACAAAAAACAUUAAAAAAUGUAUUUAAAUUGAGUAAUCACUUCAUAUAUGUCUAAUUUGGUUGAUAUUUAACUGUUUUUGUAUUUUUGUAUUUUUUUUUUUUGUUUUCAUUAAUUUCUUUUUUUUUGCUCAGUAGUUCCUUGAUUACGUGUUCACUAUUUCAAUUUCAUUCUCUAUAUACUGUAUCAUUAUUACACUACCUACUCCUAGUAUAGUAUCUUAAUUAUGUAUAUCUUCAUAAAUCAUAAUACAACAUACAUCUGAGUAGGUCCUCUACCAUUUUUAUAUUCAUGUAAGAUCUAGGACAGUAUUUUAUCUAUUUAAAUAAUUUAUAAGGCUAGAUUAGGCCUAUAUAACUAGACUUUGUGUGAAAAAUAAGUUGGACCUUUAUUUUUAUAUUCAAAGAUAAGUUAUUACAAAUUAAAAACGAUUCAAAGCAGAUACUGUCAUUCUUUAUUACUGAAUAGGUAGUUAAUUGAUUAUAAUAAUAUAUACUUAUGUUGCUAUUAAUUAUUAUAAUAGUAAUUAUUUAUG